This 199-nucleotide unclassified non-coding RNA is filed under the name uncultured fungus. RNAcentral describes it as "sequence contains ITS1". Lineage: Eukaryota; Fungi. The record is from RNAcentral.
GUAUUUGAUUGCGUUUUAAGGCAAUAUGAACAUUCUAUGACACAUUCAGAGUAUAUGAUACAUAAGCCCGAAGGCCUACGGUGGGUUCACAGGUGUGUUGUGGAUUUAAGGGCUCGGGCGUGCACAUGCCCCGAGAGGCCAGCUACAACCCUCACCUAUAAUUUCAAUAAUGAUCCUUCCGCAGGUUCACCUACGGAAA